RNAcentral lists this non-coding RNA (166 nucleotides) under Streptococcus pasteurianus. RNAcentral describes it as "FMN riboswitch (RFN element)". It matches the Rfam family "FMN riboswitch aptamer (RFN element)". Rfam says of the family: The RFN element is a highly conserved domain that is found frequently in the 5'-untranslated regions of prokaryotic mRNAs that encode for flavin mononucleotide (FMN) biosynthesis and transport proteins. The record is from RNAcentral. Lineage: Bacteria; Bacillati; Bacillota; Bacilli; Lactobacillales; Streptococcaceae.
UUGUCUUCAGGGCAGGGUGUAAUUCCCGACCGGCGGUAAUAAUUGCUGAAAAUUUUCAACAACUUAGUUUGGUAAGAGAACGAGAGUGAUUUAAGUCCGCGAGCUGCAGGGCAGCUGAUCUGGUGCGAUUCCAGAACCGACAGUAUAGUCUGGAUGGGAGAAGACU